This is a long non-coding RNA of Salmo salar (Atlantic salmon), 4826 nucleotides long. RefSeq lists it as uncharacterized. NCBI's taxonomy places the organism in Eukaryota, Metazoa, Chordata, Actinopteri, Salmoniformes, Salmonidae. The record is from RefSeq and is a predicted model, not a curated record.
GAGUGCGGGAACGUCUGUUCUUCCUCUGCAUCAGACACGUCCCCAUCUUCUCAAAUAUUUAUAGUGGCUCAAACAGCCUUAAAGAUGGAAUCCGCAAUAGGGGGAAACAGCGCCACUGGCCACCCCACGACCGUUGUUGUUGCCGAGCUGAGGACUAUCAUACAGCAUGACAGGAACCGACAGUCUGGUCCAGUGAAAUCACUUGAUGCUUUCCCCCGGCACAGGAGCACUGUGGAGAGGUAGGAUUCACCGAUCAGUUGUUGUGGGAAUGUCACCCACACCAAACAUCUCAUCCAAUGACCCAGCCAUGGACCGUCAUUGGGCGUCCACCUUUACUGCCCCAUGCACAAUCAGGGUGUAAAUACACAUCCCUAAGGUAAACCUUGCUUAAUCUUCUUAUCUGUUUACACUUUACAGUGAGUAUCAAGGGUUCAAUGAAACAGCUAUUGUUUUUGAUAAGGCAGAUGCAAAAAGUCAAGAACUUGCAAGCAGAGAGGGGGUUAAUGACACUUUUUAUGUCAACAAUAUAUAACUAGCUAAGCCUAUACACCAUCUUGCAAUUGAGCUAGUCACAGUGAACGUGGCUAUUUGCUUCCUAAAAGCCAACACAUAAUAAAUGGUCCCUAAAGAUUAUCUUAAAGUAAAAAUGGAUUUAUAAGUACAUUUGAUUGCUUUAGGGAGCUAGUUGAUUACAAUAACUUAGCCUACCACACACACAACAUAGAUGUGUUAGCUAACCAUGGACACUGCCAGCUAUGUUGUGUAGUCCACACUGGUGAACAUUGCCCAUGAAGCACUGGGGCCUUCGAUGGCUUUGAUUUCAAUAAAAUAUGUAGGCCGAAAGCUUGUUUACAUGGUACAAGCUACUACAAAAACAUAGUUGAGUUAACGUUAACUAGCUCCAGAAUUAGGCAACUAGCCAACCCAGGCUUCGGCUACGUUACAACCAAGCAAGCCAGGUUACUAGCUAUAUUUAGUAAUAUUACGUUACUCGUCUCGUGCUGAUAAGAAUACUAACGCCAGUUCUUUUAUCUAGGUUAGCCGAGUUCAUCCCUUUGAAAUGGCAACAGGUCAAAGAUAACGCCGGUUUAUUAGCUAGCUAGCUGCUACGUUACACUGGAAUGAGGUGGGGAGAGUGCAUUUAACGAUAGAUGGAAGCAUCAUUCCUGAAAGUUCGCGUGAGCUAAACGCCAAGUACUUACGACUGCAUUCCUCGUCGGCACAUCGUUUGAAGUCAGAGAAUCUCCUUUCGGUGGCGGCAUUGGAUAUGAAAUUAUUAAUAAAUACAAGUAAAAUGUAUACAUGAGAUACAUUUACAGCCAUGUUGUCAGUUGGGCUAUCUGGUUCUGCUCGAGCAUGAGCAGAUGAAGCCGACACGUCAGCAAAUCCAAGGCUGGUGCAAUUUGCAGGAUGUUGAUCGUGGAGUCAAAUAUCAAAAUAUGGGCGGACAAGGACAAAAAUUAAAGAGCAAGGCCAUAGAACCAGAAUAUAAUCUUCCUUUGAAUCGCAUACAUUCUGAUUCGGGUUUAUUACGUCUUUGUUGGAUACACCUCAAACAUUCCACACGUUUACUGGCAAGCGGUCGCAAUUUCCUUUUCCCCAUUCAAUUUGCCAAUCUGACUACAGCAGAUGUAUUAUGACACCUCAACAGAUGUGUGUGUGUGUGGUGUACACGUGCAUUGUUUUUCCAGGGGUACCCUAACAAACAAAACAAAUACAGAGAGAAUAUGACACUGAAUCUCUCGCAGCCUCAGGGUGGUUAGGCUAUCCUUUCUGCAUGGCUACCUUUCUGUAUGAGAGCGUGGUGCAUUCCCGUUCUCAAAAUAGUAGGUCCAGGGUAGCCCGGCAGGGCUCCUAUUUGGGGGGGACCUCAAGGGUGGUAAUGAUUCAAGUCACAUGUCAUUGCAAAUGAAAAUGACAUAAAAGCAUUGCAACGUAUUACAAAGACAUAAACCUCUUUCUGACUAUUCUUACAGCCCAUAAGUGACGUUGGCUAACUGGGCUGCUCCAUUCCACAUUUAGAGUAAAUAUCUCCCCUAGGUAUUGACAUUAUUGUUUUAAAAUGAAUCUCUAUUUCACUCCCAUAAAUAAUAUCUUCCCCAGCACUAUUUGAGGCCUACUUGCCUUCAUUAUUCCAGUGACGUGAGGCACUGAACCUACCAAUGAUUUGCUAGUAUAUUCUCACUUGGUUAUAUUACCUACUCACUUCGACCAAUAUGUGCGUUAAAGUGCAUGACUUUACUUUUUAUUUGAUUAAACAACAGUAACAUACAAAACAAUAGAACAGCCAGAGCGAUUACAAUGAGGACAAAUAAACAAAAAGUAACAAAUACAUCUGAGACAUUUUGCUUUGCAUACGUUUUAAUACAAAACGAAUGUUUAUGUGUAUGAAAAUGUUUCCUAAUAAGAGAUUGACAUACUGACAUUCAACUAUAGAAUAUGUGUAGUAAAAUGUCAAACUUGGAUAUUUCAAUGGUUGUAUGCAUUUUGUUGCCAAGAUAUAGCGUCACAUCGGUCCAGAAACCCUCACCAUGCAAACAACCACAAAAUAAGUGUUCAAUAGAUUCAGUUUCUAGUUAACAAAAACUGCAUUCACUAGUAACAUCAGGUGUGUAUAUAUUUAGAAAUCAAGUUAUUACAGGGGUAGAAUCCAUGGAUAAUCUUAAAGGAGAUAACCUUUACUUUGUUGGUCACCAUAAAUUUGAGGAGUGAGCCAAGCACGGUGCCAGUUCACAUCAAACGAUGAAGCCCAACAAAAUAUGCCAGAAGGAAUAGAUUUCCUGUAGAAAAUAUCCCUUAAUAAUCCAUUGUUGAAUUUCUAAUCUGGUAAACCUAUGCCAUUCACCUGGGUAUCACUUACAAUCGGAAAUGUCCCACAAUAUCCAUUAUUCUGUAGUAAAGACUUUAUCGCCACUAGGUAUAGCUUUUAUAACGGUGUCAUAUUCCUUGCUUGAAACCUCAGUUGUAUCUUUCCAUAAACUCCGUGUAUACAGAUUCCCACUGAUACUAACUAAUUGGCUGACUAGAACAAUGUUGUUUGAGAACCAAUUACGGUAAAAUAACAUCUUGUUUCCAUGUAAUAUAGAAUUAUUAUUCCAUAUAAAACAUUUGAAGUGAAAAGUUGUUUAUACAGCAAAGUCCAUCACAUUAAAGCCUGCUUGUGAAAAGAUGCCAAUUUCACAGGAAGUUUACCCACAAUAUAAGGACAUUGUAGUAAAAAAAAUAUUCCAAAAACGGAGUAUUUAUUUUUUAUUAAGUACCUUUUUAACCCAGUUGGCUUUUGUUAUUGAAUUAAAGAGAAUGAAGUCUAAGACAUUUAGACCACCAUCUAACCCUGUUGGUGAUAACAUCUCUUUUUAUUUUGGCUUGUUUUUCCAUAUGAAGUUGUACAAUAGCCUAAGGUACAGCAAGUGGAUUUUGGAAUGUCAAUAGAUAGUCCCUCAGCCUUUGAUAAUAACCUUGCUUUAGAGGCAGGUAGUUCUCCCUUUAUUUAUAGCCACCUUUAAAGGUUUCACGUAAAAAUGGUGCUGUUUCUUCAGAGGUUUUGGAAAAUUCAGAGGGUAAUCCAACAUGGCCUGGAUAGUUUUUUUUUUUUUUAAUGGGGCAAUCCCAUUUUGGAUGUCCAUAAUGGACAAAUCUUGACAGCAAGUCUGAUUGAAUUCUUCACUAACAGUUAACAUUCUCUUUAGAACCAAGAGUUUAGUCACUGAAACGUAUCUAAGGAGUAAAGAUUCUCAUAAAACAUAGUGGUAAAGUCUGAUAUCAACUCUCUAUCCUCAGAGGUUACCCCAUUAAUCUUAUCUUUCCGAAGUGUUCUGAAUUCCCUUCUCUUUUCCAAAUAAAAAAAGCAUCUGUUAAUUUUACAUUUUUCAAGCCAUUGUUUUCUUAACCUUAUGAAGGCUCUUAGCCUUUUCCUUAUAUAAUUUGUGUAGUUGGUUCUGUAAAUCAUUAAAUUUAGCCUUAAGAUCAAGAUGCUCAAUUUCCGUGAUAUUUGCAAUUUUCUUAGAGCUCAGUUACCUCACAUCUUAAAGCAAGCUGCUUCCCAUAAGUAAUACAGGCUGAGCAGAUUUUACAUUUCAGCUGUUCCCAAUAUUCCCCAUAUAGCGAGCAAUAGUAACGGCGUCUUUUUGUUGGCACUAACACCACCAUGGUUCGUUGAACAAAGCCUUUGGGGGAAAAUAAUGGUGUUUGGGGAUAAAACGCAGAAAAUAAGGUCUGUGGUAAACACAGGUUUAGGCGAUCGUUUUGUUCUAUGAGAUCAUCUCCAACUAACGUCACUUUUUGUGAAUUCUUAAUCAUUUAUAAAGGCAACCUAAUUCAUAAAGGUAUUGCUAACUGACUGAUAUAAUUAUCCCUACAUCAGAGGUAGAGACGUUGUUUACAUACUAACGAGCGGAAUACGUUUUUCCACCAAUGAUAGAAUGCCAGAAAGCUCUUCAACAAGUUUUUCCACCAAUGAUAGAAUGCCAGGAAGCUCUUCAAGAAGUUUUUCCACCAAUGAUAGAAUGCCAGGAAGCUCUUCAGGAAGUAUACCGGAAGUGAGACAUGUUUUAAACCAGAGGCGAAGCGAGAGUGAUAACUGGGGGCAAAAUCUGUCUUCUCUAGCAGGUGGCGAUUUUUCGUUUCUUUCCGCUCAUCAAGCGACCAGUUUUUGUAUGGAGGUCAAUGAGAGCGUGUCGAAUUUGGUUAACAAAACAUUGAAUGGCUUAUUUACUACGUGUGGCUUAUUUGAUCGAAUAGAAGUUUCGUAAUUAUUCGGCUGUUACGAGUGUACUGAUAUAAGUAGAACAAGUAACAUCCCGACAACUUCGAGAAUAAACACUAUA